UCUGCUCAGAUUUUGUCUCUCUAAAUUUUUCAAACCCAAUUUUCGAUGCCCGAUCAUCGUGUCUUUUGUCAUCUCUUACCGAUUAUCAGUGUCAGAAACUUUUAAAAUUCACUCGAAUCUUUCUUUUAACAUCCUUUUUGUUUCUAUGGAAUUAGAUUUUUACAAAACCCUAAAAAACUCAAGAAUCCAUCUUCAAACCCAAACCAAAAAUUUCAAAUCUAGGGCCACUGUUGCUGCGUUGGCCACCAAACUUUCACCAUGCCUCUUCUUGAUUUUUACUAUUCGGAAUCCUCAAAAUCCCCAAAGAAAUCUUAAACUUAAACCCUAGGAGAGAGAAAAUCCUUUUUCUCUCCUUUUUGUGCCACUUUUUUGUCUUGUUUACUUGAUUUUUGUGUAUUUUUUCUAUUUGAGUUAAUUUACAUUUUUGGCUAGUUUUUUAAGUCCUAUUCUAGUAUGUAUUUUUGUGCUUAUUCAUUUAUACUAAUCUUGAUCCUAUGUUAUAUGGCUAGUGAAAACACGGAAGCUUGUUCUUCGGACUAAAGUCAAUGUCUAGCAUUACUGGGAAUUGGUAGGCUAAUAUAAUAGAAUUUUCAGCAAAGGUUUAAAAUGAAAAAAAUAGUUUUUUUAACGAGAUGAUAAGUGCUAGUUGGCAAUUUAAUUGGUAUUUAAUUAUACUUAUGUGGCAAUGAAUUAAGUUAAUGUAUUUGGCACUUAAAUGAAUAGUGAAAUUUUUGAUUUGGCAACAAAUUGAGAUUUGAGGACAACUUUAACAUAUAGGUAUAGAUAUUGGUGGAAGGACAAAAAUAACAAUAAAAACAACCCUUGAUUUUUUAUGGUAGAUAUGGAAAGAACACUAAACUAUGAUAUUGCCUUUAAUGAUUAAACCUGACUUAACCCAAAAAGUAAGUUUUUAUGUCAAGUUACAAUUAAUUGUAAUUGAAAAAAUUAUAAAAUUUUUAUUCUCAAUAGUAAGUUAGAGUAAUUGGGAAUCAUAUAAAUCAUCUGUGUAUUAUAUAGAAAUGGAUGGUUAGGAUUAAAUAAUUGUAGAA
RNAcentral lists this long non-coding RNA (1049 nucleotides) under Durio zibethinus. RNAcentral describes it as "long non-coding RNA (DZIB_LNC000363)". The record is from RNAcentral. Lineage: Eukaryota; Viridiplantae; Streptophyta; Magnoliopsida; Malvales; Malvaceae.